AAGCGGGUUGGGACCUCACCUCGGUGAGGGCUCCAGCUUGUCUGAAUUAUUCACCCAUGUCUUUUGCGCACUUCUUGUUUCCUGGGCGGGUUCGCCCGCCACCAGGACCAAACCAUAAACCUUUUUGUAAUUGCAAUCAGCGUCAGUAAACAAUGUAAUUAUUACAACUUUCAACAACGGAUCUCUUGGUUCUGGCAUCGAUGAAGAACGCAGCGAAAUGCGAUACGUAGUGUGAAUUGCAGAAUUCAGUGAAUCAUCGAAUCUUUGAACGCACAUUGCGCCCUUUGGUAUUCCAAAGGGCAUGCCUGUUCGAGCGUCAUUUGUACCCUCAAGCUUUGCUUGGUGUUGGGCGUCUUUGUCUCUCACGAGACUCGCCUUAAAAUGAUUGGCAGCCGACCUACUGGUUUCGGAGCGCAGCACAAUUCUUGCACUUUGAAUCAGCCUUGGUUGAGCAUCCAUCAAGACCACAUUUUUAACUUUUGACCUCGGAUCAGGUAGGGAUACCCGCUGAACUUAAGCAUAUCAAUAAGCGGAGGAA
This 538-nucleotide ribosomal RNA is filed under the name Stemphylium vesicarium. RNAcentral describes it as "eukaryotic LSU rRNA". The stretch from base 166 to 319 matches the Rfam family "5.8S ribosomal RNA". The record is from RNAcentral. Lineage: Eukaryota; Fungi; Ascomycota; Dothideomycetes; Pleosporales; Pleosporaceae.